Molecule: ribosomal RNA, 432 nt
Filed under: Triticum aestivum (bread wheat)
Lineage: Eukaryota; Viridiplantae; Streptophyta; Magnoliopsida; Poales; Poaceae
Description: partial small subunit ribosomal RNA
Source: RNAcentral
AUGGUGUGGGGCAUUCAACCGCAAGAUGUAGCAACAGUGAGCUCAUCAUUGUCGGAUGACUACAAAUCCAAGAUAAAUUGCACUACGAUGACGCAUUGCGAUGUGGUGGAGGAACAACCAAGAAGCGAAUGGCUUUGCAUAUAUAGACCAGACAAAAAUAUGGCCAUUAGACUAGUGCUAACAAAUACAGCCAUAAAAAAUAUAUUUUUAUUUAAAGGAUAUCAAUUAAAUGUGGGAGGGUGGAAUAUAGGUAGUGGAAAAUUGAGUUGGGAGUCAGUUGGAGCACGAAGAGAUAUGGAGAUGGGAUUGUUUAGAGACGCCCGAGCAAAAAAUACCACACAAUAUUCCUGCACAAAAGAAUAUGUCGCCUCUAUAAUAAUAUAUCAAUUGGUAAGCUCUGUGUUUGAGGAAAACAAAUAUUCUCCUGCAUAA